AGAGAGAAUCAGAAACUUUGAUUGCACAGCCCUGAUCAGGGGUCCUAUAAAGGCAGCCAAGUAGCCAGUCAGCAGCACAAGAGCCAGCAAACAGAGCUGGAAACAGAUGUAAUCCCUUAAUAGGUCCCCGAGAGGGAAGGUGAAG
This is a non-coding RNA of Chrysemys picta bellii (western painted turtle), 145 nucleotides long. NCBI's taxonomy places the organism in Eukaryota, Metazoa, Chordata, Testudines, Emydidae. The record is from RefSeq and is a predicted model, not a curated record.